UCUCCCUCGUCUUCUUUUUAAUUAUUUUUUGGGUUUUGUUUGCGAUGCAAUUCUGCAGCUAUAUGAAUUUAUUCUGGGUCAGAUAUUUUAUAUUUUGAUUUUUUAUGUAAUUUGUUUAAAAUUUUUAUGGUUGUUUCUGGUUGCCGUGAUCAAUUCUUAUUGUUAAAUUGUUGAAUGGCUGCGUGGUUUUUGUCGGUUGCUGAGAAGUGAUUAUAAAAUUUUGAUAAUUAUAUUGGAAUUUUAAUUUUACUAUAGGAUUAGUUUGCUGUUCUAAAUUUUGCAAUUAAACUGGUUGAUAUUAUCAAUUUUCAAUCUGUUUUCAAUUUGAGUUAGCUGCUUCAGUGGCCUUCUAUGUUUCCGUUUUCUGGCAACAUUUUCAUCAAUGGUAGCUAUAUCAUGCAUAUUUGUGGUAUUCUUUGAUUUUGGUUUCAGAAGAGAUGACAUUUUCUUAUCCCUUGGUUCUCAGGCCAGCAUCUUUUAUGCAUGACAGGGAUUGCGUUUUCCUAAUUGGCAAAGAUUUUGGUUCACUCUGGCCGCUGCAACAAAUUUUAAGUCUUCUCGCACCUCUAGAUGGGUGUGGGGUGAUAACGAGGGAGUGAUAUUGGUUUGUCUCUUGAGGAGAUCAAGGUCAUGUCAUGUUUGGAGAUUGUGUCGUAUUUCAGAGGGCUUGUCUCUGGAUUAUGGCUAAGGUCACGUUUUGCUAGAUCCCCAGAAGCUUGAUGUUAGUUGACAUUCUACAUUAGUUAAGUUUGGUACUUGUUUCAGGCUUCUGAACAGAACAUUGAUGCUUAGAAUAGAAUAGUUGUUUACCCAUAGAAUUUUUAUGUAGCACAAGAGUAUAAGUGGAUGUAACUCUUAUCAGUGUUGUCAAAAUGGUUAGGUUUUCGUGCUUCAAUGCGCAUAUCCAUUCCAACAAACCAAAGAAACCCUUUGAAAAUUCUGUUGAAUCAAUGCGUAAGACCUUACAAGACUCCACCUCUCAAAUUGAAGCCCCUAUGGCACCACCUAAAGCUACCAGCUCAAAUUCAUUAUUGCUCAAGGCGCAAGCAGAUACUGAAAUUAGUCGGAGCAUCAAGAGUGUUACAAGUUCUGUGUUAGUUGAACGGGGCAGGAAAUCAGAGGAAAUUAAGGGCAAACUAAAUAUAGGAAAUGACACACGAGUCCAUCAGAAAGGUCUUAUUAAGAAAAGUCAGUCUCUGGGAAGUGGAUUAUGCCAUGAGGGAAGGAUUCUGUGUGAAAAUGACACGGAGGACGACAUAGAUCAAGGAUUUUCUAGUGAUUCCCUUGAUCAAAAUGGGCUGUGUGGACCAUACAGCACCAAGGAUGCAGGAGUUAGCGCAAGCUGUCAGCAGGAAAAUGUUCCACAAUCAGAGACUGCCCAACUAGGUUCUGAUAUUGUCAAUGCUAAAUCCAUCCAUUCAAUUGAAGAUCCUCAACAUUCAGAGGAGGGCCCUGAAAAUUUUGAAACUCUGGUAUCUGGUGAAGUUUGCAAUGAAUCUAGGAAUCAUAUGCCUCACGCACCUCCAAUGAUUGUAAAAUCAUGCUCGUUGCCUACUAUUUGCCCUUCCUCACCCUCUUCUGGUCAAUAUUCCUAUAAAUAUUUAGCACCUCGUUCAAGAUCUUGUGAGAACUUACAUGCACUACAUAUGAGGUGGAAAGAGUUUUCAUUUCGUGAAGUUGAAAAGCAGGCGAUGCGAGAACAUGAAAGAAAUGAUAAUGAUUCUAAAACUGAGAAAAAUAAUUUUGAAAAUUCUCUUGAUGAUGUUUAUGAUUCUUACAAUUAUUCAGCUUCAGCAAAAGACUGGAUUAUACCAGUUACAGAUGAGGUAAGCAUGGCAACAAUACUUCAAGGAAAAUCCUCCAGUGGGGAGUUUGAUGAAUUGCCGAGCAAGGAUUUUAAAAUUAAGCGGAUUGAGGAGUGGAUCAUUGAUCUUCAACACUGCAGCCCAUUGGAAGACAGAAAUGAUUUAUCAGAUUCUAAUCCCCCAAUGAAUAGAGAUUUCACUGUCAUCAAUGGUUUGAGUGGCACAAAGGCGGAUGCUAAGGUGGUCACUCCUGGCAUGGAAGCUGCUAAAAGAUACAUCUCUUCUUUGAGUGCUGCCGCUACCACAGCUCAGCUGUCAAAUCAUGGGCUGGCAGUGAUCCCAUUUCUUAGUGCAUUUGUUAGCCUGAGGGUGCUUAAUCUAUCAGGAAAUUCCAUAGGUUUGCAUCUCUAAGAGCAUCUUUAUCCUUUUUCCCUCUUGUCUUCUAGUGGAAUGGUCUUAGGGGGGAAAUAAUAUUAAUAAUAUCUGUCCUAAUGUUUGCUUCUGUACUCUUUCCAGUAAGAAUAGCUGCUGGCGCCCUUCCUCGAGGACUUCAUUUGUUGAAUCUGUCAAAAAACAAUAUUUCCACUAUUGAGGGUUUGCGUGAACUCACCCGACUCCGUGUGCUGGACUUGAGCUACAACCGGAUAUUAAGAAUUGGGCAUGGUAUGUUAUGAACUGUAACUUGAUGGUUGUUACUUGUUAGCUUUUCUAUAUUUGUGUUCUUUUUUUAUUCUUUAUAUUCCCAAUUCUGUUGCAUCCUAAAUGUUGUUGAUAUUGAUCCUUGUAACUUUUUUUUUGAACAUUUCUUGUCUGUUUUAAAAGGUCUGGCUUCUUGUUCUUCCCUGAAAGAGUUGUACUUGGCUGGAAAUAAAAUAAGUGAGGUAGAGGGUCUCCACCGCCUAUUAAAACUAACAGUACUGGAUCUGCGUUUCAACAAAAUCUCUACAGCCAAAUGUCUGGGCCAACUUGCAGCCAACUACAAUUCCUUGCAAGCCAUUAGCUUGGAAGGAAAUCCAGCACAGAAAAAUGUUGGAGAUGAACAACUCAAGAAAUAUCUGCAAGGCCUUCUUCCCCAUCUUGUUUACUUCAACAGGCAGCCAAUUAGAGUCAGCACAUUAAAAGAUGCUGCAGACCGAUCAGUAAGGCUGGGCAUCAAUGCCCAUCAGUUUGAUCGUGGCCUAAAGUCAGAUAACAAAGCUACACGGAAGAGUAGCCAUGGACUAGCUGGCACCAGGCCAACAUCUUCAUCAAUUCACGGUCGUAAAAGUCAAGCUGUAGUCUCACCGAAGCGGUCCAGGGGUAGGCAUGUUCGUCUGCCACCAACUGGGACUAAGGCAACAACCAAUCUUCGGCAUCAUUAUUUUGAUAUCAGUAACAAACUGAACUUUAGAUCAGAGCUGUCAAUGCACAGGAGUCGAAGUGAGGGAACUUUGAGAGUCCUGUGAGAUCUGUUAUGAUUUCAAGAGUCUAUUACGCUACUUGAAGUUUUUGGUUGUCCUGGUAGUAAAUCUGUGGUCUCAUUGAAACGUUCCUUCAAGUGCAUCGAAAGCAAUGAUCAAUCAAUGUGAUUAUAUUGCUCCAUAUACUCCUGCAUUCUCAUUUCACAGUAGUUGAGGAACUCUUGGAACUCAGAUGAUUUGUCAUGCUUUUGGAGUCCUGUUUCUCCACCUGUUUGAGUUUGGUUGUGCGAUUUUCUAUCUCAGCAUUAUUAUUUGUCUCUUGAUCUACUGUGUUUGUGUUAUGUGAACAUGUUUAUGUUUGAUGUUGCUAUUGAUUCAAUAACCAAUUCGAACAUUUUUGUUAAUGUUGCACUUUGCAUUUGAAAUAUUAAACUUUUGGCUUGGACCCUUUGUUCUCAAUGGCAUGUCAAUUAAGCUGCAAAGUUGCUGUACUGCAGUUCCUCAGUGAAUGCGAGAUGCAAUUAAGUGCAAUCUUAACAGUGAGUUGGAGAUACGAUUUGUGGGAUGUAAUACGAGAUGCAAUUAUAUGCAAAUUUUAGUUGGUUUUUGGGAUUUCAGUUUGGAUAAGAAAAAAGAAG
RNAcentral lists this unclassified non-coding RNA (3843 nucleotides) under Hevea brasiliensis (rubber tree). The record is from RNAcentral. Lineage: Eukaryota; Viridiplantae; Streptophyta; Magnoliopsida; Malpighiales; Euphorbiaceae.